This 250-nucleotide ribosomal RNA is filed under the name uncultured bacterium. RNAcentral's name for it is "partial 16S ribosomal RNA". It matches the Rfam family "Bacterial small subunit ribosomal RNA", at positions 524 to 776 of the family's 1533-position model. The record is from RNAcentral.
UACGUAGGGUGCAAGCGUUAAUCGGAAUUACUGGGCGUAAAGCGUGCGCAGGCGGUUUGUCGCGUCUGCUGUGAAACUGGGGCUCAACCCCAGCCUGCAGUGGGUACGGGCAGACUAGAGUGCGGUAGGGAGAUUGGAAUUCCUGGUGUAGCGGUGGAAUGCGCAGAUAUCAGGAGGAACACCGAUGGCGAAGGCAGAUCUCUGGGCCGUAACUGACGCUGAGGAGCGAAAGCAGUGGGGAGCGAACAGG